Molecule: ribosomal RNA, 490 nt
Filed under: uncultured bacterium
Lineage: Bacteria
Description: bacterial SSU rRNA
Rfam family: Bacterial small subunit ribosomal RNA
Source: RNAcentral
UCUUACACAUGCAAGUCGGGCGGAUCUCUUUAAUUGCAGCAAUGCAAUUGGAGAGAUCGAGCGGCAAACGGGUGAGUAAUAGAUAGGUAAUCUACCAUAAUGACUGGGAUACCCCCUUGAAAAAGGGAUCAAUACCAGAUAAUGUCAGUUUAAAUACUUUUAAAUUGAAGAAAGAUGGCCCAAAGCUAUCACAUUAUGAUGAGCCUAUCUCCUAUCAGCUUGUUGGUGAGGUAAUGGCUCACCAAGGCUAUGACGGGUAGCUGGUCUGAGAGGAUGGUCAGCCACACUGGAACUUAGAUACGGUCCAGACUCCUACGGGAGGCAGCAGUGGGGAAUCUUGGGCAAUGGGCGAAAGCCUGACCCAGCGACACUGCGUGGGUGAUGAAGAUCUUUGGAUUGUAAAACCCUUUUCCUGAAGAUGAAAGGUAGGAUUGAGAAUAUCCUUCCUACCCUGACAGUAUUCAGGGAAUAAGCCCCAGCCAACUACGUG